Molecule: ribosomal RNA, 301 nt
Filed under: uncultured bacterium
Lineage: Bacteria
Description: partial 16S ribosomal RNA
Rfam family: Bacterial small subunit ribosomal RNA
Source: RNAcentral
CAGUAGCCACGGGAAUACGAAGGGGGCUAGCGUUGCUCGGAAUGACUGGGAGUAAAGGGCGCGUAGGCGGCGAUCGAAGUCAGGCGUGAAAUUCCUGGGCUCAACCUGGGGGCUGCGCUUGAUACUUGGUUGCUUGAGUGGGGAAGAGGGUCGUGGAAUUCCCAGUGUAGAGGUGAAAUUCGUAGAUAUUCGGAGGAACACCAGUGGCGAAGGCGGCUCACUGGACCAUUACUGACGCUGAGGUGCGAAAGCGUGGGGAGCAAACAGGAUUAGAGACCCGCGUAGUCCCUGUCUCUUAUAC